AACGAACGCUGGCGGCAUGCCUAACACAUGCAAGUCGAACGAGACCUUCGGGUCUAGUGGCGCACGGGUGCGUAACGCGUGGGAACCUGCCCUUAGGUUCGGAAUCACUCCCCGAAAGGGGUGCUAAUACCGGCUAAUGUCUUCGGCCCAAAGAUUUAUUGCCUUUGGAUGGGCCCGCGUUGGAUUAGCUAGUUGGUAGGGUAAAAGCCUACCAAGGCGACGAUCCAUAGCUGGUCUGAGAGGAUGAGCAGCCACACUGGGACUGAGACACGGCCCAGACUCCUACGGGAGGCAGCAGUGGGGAAUACUGGACAAUGGGCGAAAGCAUGAACCAGCAAGGCCGCGUGAGUGAUGAAGGCCUUAGGGUUGUAAAGCUCUUUUACCCGGGAUGAUAAUGACAGUACCGGGAGAAUAAGCUCCGGCUAACUCCGUG
RNAcentral lists this ribosomal RNA (433 nucleotides) under uncultured bacterium. RNAcentral's name for it is "partial 16S ribosomal RNA". It matches the Rfam family "Bacterial small subunit ribosomal RNA", at positions 29 to 507 of the family's 1533-position model. The record is from RNAcentral.